AGUGAACGCUGGCGGUAGGCCUAACACAUGCAAGUCGAACGGCAGCACAGUAAGAGCUUGCUCUUACGGGUGGCGAGUGGCGGACGGGUGAGGAAUACAUCGGAAUCUACUUUUUCGUGGGGGAUAACUUAGGGAAACUUACGCUAAUACCUCAUACGACCUACGGGUGAAAGCAGGGGAUCUUCGUACCUUGCGCGAUUGAAUGAGCCGAUGUCGGAUUAGCUAGUUGGCGGGGUAAAGGCCCACCAAGGCGACGAUCCGUAGCUGGUCUGAGAGGAUGAUCAGCCACACUGGAACUGAGACACGGUCCAGACGCCUACGGGAGGCAGCAGGGGGGAAUAUGGGACAAGGGGCGCAAGCCUGAUCCAGCCAUACCGCGGGGUGAAGAAGGCCUUCGGGUUGUAAAGCCCUUUUGUUGGGAAAGAAAAGCAGCAGGUUAAUACCCCGCUGUUCUGACGGUACCCAAAGAAUAAGCACCGGCUAACUUCGUG
Molecule: ribosomal RNA, 491 nt
Filed under: uncultured bacterium
Lineage: Bacteria
Description: partial 16S ribosomal RNA
Rfam family: Bacterial small subunit ribosomal RNA
Source: RNAcentral